Long non-coding RNA from Acyrthosiphon pisum (pea aphid), 3363 nucleotides. RefSeq lists it as uncharacterized. The record is from RefSeq and is a predicted model, not a curated record. NCBI's taxonomy places the organism in Eukaryota, Metazoa, Arthropoda, Insecta, Hemiptera, Aphididae. The transcript has 3 exons.
UUGUAAUUUUAACAAUACUUUAAGUUUUAAAAUUAUCUUUUUAAAUAUUUAUUUAUUCAAUUUAAUUUUCUUUGUAAGAUAAUUACUGCAAAAAAUUUGUGGGAUCAUUAAAGAUUGAUGAUUGUUAAAUCCUUUUUAGGGCACAGGAAAGAAAUGAAAAUAAUAAAAUAAUUUUAAAAACUGUAUAACAAAUGACUAAAUAGUAAAUAGUCAAUAGAGAUAUUAUUUUUUUUUAAAAAUGUGAAUAUUAUACACAAUUUUCUACAUUUAGAGUGAUAUAUUGACAUUUACCCUAGCACGCUUUACCAUCGACUUAUUGAAAUGAAACCUUCAUGCUUUAAUUUAGGAAGUAUACGUGUCCAAUUUUGUGAGAAAAAUAUGCUUUAUUUUUUUUGUUUUUUAUAAGAGAACCUAAAAAUAAAACCUAGCAGUAUACUUGAUAAUUUUCCUCUGCAAGGAAAAUCAAUGUAAACAAAAAUGGGUUAGUAAAAAAAAAUUUUAGCCACCCAAAAACAUCCAUAUCAAUAUUAUGGUUACUUUUAUGAACUCUGGGUAUUGAUACAAAAAGAAUUAUAAUGAAGAUUUGAAGAAAUGUGUUAAAACAAAUUAUUGUACUUUUAAUUUAUCUUUGUUUUAUUUAAUUCGUAGAUUUGCGUAUUUGUGAAGUUCAAGCAGACUGCUUGCAAAUACAAUAAAUCAUUUAAGUAAUUGCAUAUUUGUGAGUUUUAUUAUUUAAGAUAUAUACCAACAUGUUUACUUACUUAACUACUUUCCUAACUUUCUAUUUAACGGCUUUAACUUGAGGAUGUAAAAGACACAACAUAAUAAUAUGUUGACAAAUUGUAAAGAAAAAAUGAAUACUACUUUUUUUUUUAAAAUACCAAAGGCAAAAAAAAGUUGAGAGCCACUGCUGUAUUCUCUUAAUUACAGAGGUGGUGUGUCAAUGGCUCAAUGAGGCAGGUGAUGAGAUCGUCAUUCUUCUAAUUAAUAUCAAAAAAGUUCAUUCGUUUUUAUCUAGCUAUUUACUAUUAAGAGGACCCUACCCAAGCACUUGUCUCCGUAUUACACAUAAAUAGGACAUUUUCAUUCACUAGUUUCAAUAUUAUGCUGUGAGUUUUGAUAUUAGAGUAAAUUGACCUAUUAUCAAACUUUUAGGUAAGAAAAUUAUCUGUGCUACAGUGUGUGAUUUUUUAACAUUUUAAUUUUCAAGCAAGAUAUGGACAUAUAGUUAUGUGAAAUUGUGAAAUAUUACCAGACAUAACUUUGAAAUUCAAAAGGGGUACUUUUUACGGAGGGGAAAAUAAUAAAGAACGUGUAACAGUAAUAUUGUCGGAGCCAAUAAUGUGACAGGAAUCGAAAAAGUAUAAAACUUCUCGUGAUUAGAAAAUCGAAACGACUAAUAGACAUUUCAAGAAAAAAAUAUACGAAAUCGUUACCAGUCACAUAAUAUUAUUGUAUACAGGGACGUCAUUAGGAUUGGAAUCAUGGGGUACCAGGUAUCAUAAUACUUUUAAUUCGAUUGCACGUGGUCUAAUGAACCCUGGGAGCAGUCGGUGAAUAAUAUUAUAAAAUUGGCUUGGUAACGAUACCUUGUUACCGUAAUUGUGGGUGAAUAGAAACAAAAUUUCGAAAUAAGUUUCAUUGACCAAUAACUACGGUCUAAGCAUAACUAUUUUUAAAAAUUGUUGAUGUAUUACAUUGGUUAUGUUAUGAAGAAUCGAAUUCAAUUGAUACAUUUUUACCUCCAUAAUAAUUAUCGAUAAGAAAAUUGAUAAGAGUAAAAAUUAUUUUACCUCCAAAAAAUGUGUAUCAACUUUAUUAUCAUGGUUCUCAUGAACAAAUUGUGAUAACUCCAAAUUUUUUUUCACUUUUCGGCGUUGUUGUGGGGAAUUAAUUAACGUAAGUAUCAAUCCUGUUUAAUGAAUUGCUGAUUUUUUAUAAUUUUUUUAAUCAAAACAUUUUGUUUUCCGGGUGAAUAGAAACAUGCCAAAAGUAUAUAAGCCAGAUCCGCGCGGCAAAUAUGUUUAAAAUGUUGUUUUUCAUAAAAUAAAGGCUAUAAGAAUCCGUUCCUUUUGGAACUCGUUCCUUCAAACACUGGGUUAGGUUAGAUUAUUAUACGGCAUAGUGUAUCUGCAAAUCAAGUCUCACAAGAGAUGGAAUGAAAACCAAUCGAAGAAGAAAAUCCGAUAGACUGAAAUCGAUACCAACAGAAUUUUGCUGGGACUCGCGGAGUGGGAUUUGUCGAGGUGGACUCUGAUGUUUUAACAACGUACUAUCCUACCGACGACGAGAGCUGAUGAAACCCUCAACGAUUGAACGUUCCAAGGAGAGACUAACGAGUCAAGUGGUGAGGAUGAGUCGGAUAGUGAUGGCGAUAAUGUGGAAUCGCCUUUAAUUACACUUGUCCAGGCAUUAGAUCUACAGAAAUUCUUCAAAUAUAUACGAGAACAACCAGAUAUUCCAGACGAGAUGUUUUCUGGGAUUACUAUCCGAGUUGAUUCUCAAUUAUAUAAUUGGUUCUCUAUAAAGGUAACAUACGAAUUGGUUCCGAAUUUCCGAUGAACAUUCAUAACAAUAAUACAACUAUGUUAAAUUAACUUUUCAAAUUAUUAUGAUAUAUUUAACCAACCACAUAAUUUCCUUUUCGUUAUACCUAUACACGUAUUUGUCAACGUUAUUAAUAAUUAAAUAGGUAUAUAGUAAUAUUUUUACUAAAAAAUACCAAUUUAUUAGAUAUAUUAUUAUUACACUAGUUCCCAGACAUCAUAAAACCUAUUAAAAUUUCAUAAGAUUACCGAUUUGUACUUGGGUAGAAAUUCAAAAAGUUGUACCCAAAAUGAUAGAGUAACCUGGGGUAUAAUGGCGCAUGGGGCAAAAUGAACUAUUGUAUAUAAGUAAUUUAAUAAUUGCUAUCUGGUCAAACAUUUUUAUUAUUGUGAUUAUGUUAUCAAAGCCAAUGCGAUAAAAUAUUUUUUUCAGCAGUUGAUGAAGUUUUGGCGGCAAUAUUAGGCAAAGUAUUAAUUGUAUUCAUCUGAUAUACCUAAUAUUUCAAUAUUUGAGUAGUAUAGAAGUAGUAAUUUGUACUAUAUAACGACACGUUAGGUGUUGCUUUUAUAUAUAUUCGUUUAGUACAAGUAGGUGACUAAACGUCAAUACUAGUAAAAUAUUAAUAUGAUAACAACUGAAUAUACUACAACACUGUUUAUGCAGAAAAUCAUAUUGGGGUAAAAUGGCUUAGUGGGUUUUGGGGUAAAAGUGCGCAGUAUUUCUUACAUAAUUAUUGAUUACCUUAUAAACAUCUAAUUUCUCUGGCUUUAAAUUGAAUGUCUAAAAAUUUAAUUAUAUCUAUUUAAUUAUUAAUUU